Non-coding RNA from Podarcis lilfordi (Lilford's wall lizard), 1255 nucleotides. The record is from the annotation of a GenBank genome assembly. Lineage: Eukaryota; Metazoa; Chordata; Lepidosauria; Squamata; Lacertidae.
GUAUGCAACAAAUAAUUUUUAGGAGACAUGAUCAUGGUUUCUUAUAUCUGCAGUGCCUGAUAUUUUUAUGGUUUUUAUGGUUAUUGUUGCUUUUCCUUUUGUUCACUUCGUGAAUGAUGCCAUGGCCUUUGGCUAGUGCAAUAAAGUUGAUAAUGAUGAUGAUGAUGAUGAUGAUGAUGAUGAUGACCAAGGAUAAUGGGAGCUGUAGUUCAGCAACACCUGGAGGGCCAAAGGUCGCCCACUCCUGCCUUCAUUCGCAGCUUCCCAGUCCUGCCUUCAUUCUCCCAGCUUCCCAGCACAGUGGGUUUCUAUCACUUGCCAAGAGGGGUGGGGCUUGGGGGGACUUGGUGUGGUGCAGUACAUGGUGAUGGAGCCAUUCCUCACCGGCCACUACUGCAUGAAUUACACUAGCAUCUCUGGUUACUGUUGGCCACAGAGGCUCACCGGAUGCUGUGUGUAGGCAAGCAGAGUUGUCCUGUUGUUGUUGUUGUUGUUUAGACGUUUAGUCGUGUCUGACUCUUCAUGACCCCAUGGACCAGAGCACGCCAGGCACUCCUGUCUUCCACUGCCUCCCGCAGUUUGGUCAAACUCAUGUUGGUAGCUUUGAGAACACUGUCCAACCAUCUCGUCCUCUGUCUUCCCCUUCUCCUUGUGCCCUCCAUCUUUCCCAGCAUCAGGGUCUUUUCUUGGGAGUCUUCUCUUCUCGUGGGGUGGCAAAGUAUUGGAGUCUCAGCUUUAGGAUCUGUCCUUCCAGUGAGCACUCAGGGCUGAUUUCCUUCAGAAUGGAUAGGUUUGAUCUUCUUGCAGUCCAUGGGACUCUCAAGAGUCUCCUCCAGCACCAUAAUUCAAAAGCAUCAAUUAUUUGGCGAUCAGCCUUCUUGAUGGUCCAGCUCUCACUUCUAUACAUAACUACUGGGAAAACCAUAGCUUUAACUAAGGAACUAGCAUUAUUUAAAUCCUAUGCACCUGUCCCAUAAGAGCUAGCACUCACCAUCAUUAUUGUUUUUUUGCUUAUUAUUAAAAUAUUUCAUGCUUAUAUACAGAUAUCUGUGGCACUGCCUUACAAACACUGUUUCCAUAUAGCACCCAAGAUGCUGACAUCUAAGAAUGGGGUUCCAGCUGCCUCCAUUGUUGUACCACAUGCGACUGAGGAGUUUAGGUUUCUUAGGAUGGAAUAUAAUAGUGCUGGACGACAAUAGCUUUGAAGGCUGUGCUUCAAAGUUAUUAGAAAAUUAAAGACAAUGACAUCUUGCUU